This 309-nucleotide ribosomal RNA is filed under the name Triticum aestivum (bread wheat). Its description in RNAcentral is "partial small subunit ribosomal RNA". The record is from RNAcentral. Lineage: Eukaryota; Viridiplantae; Streptophyta; Magnoliopsida; Poales; Poaceae.
AUGGGACCAGCUCGCUGCGUCUUCCCGUCCAACAGAUACAUGAGCACCAGCCGCCUCCAGCAGAAGGGGGGACACAGUGCGCCAACUUAUCAGGAGCCUAGUGCCAAGCUUCUCUGCCUGCUAACGCUCACGGCAUCAUUGAUGUAUGAUGCGUGGGAUUCUUACGAUGGGUUUGCAAGCCGUUUCGGCGAGUUUUCGACGUGCGAGUUCUCGCGGGAGCAGAUUUCCCAAUUCCCAACAGCUGCUUGGUCGAUACUGGACAAGACCAGUGACUUGAUGCUGGAAAGAGAGCCCCCAACUUCAACCUGA